GAUACUCUACGGGAAGCGCAUUCAGCUCAUUUAAUUCAACCGACAAAGAAGAUCCGGGGGACAGCGUAGGUGAGGAUAACAGGCCUGCCUGGCAGGAAGUUAGCAAUCAUCUAUCAGUCCACCCACCUAACGAUGGGGCGGGUCUGAAUUAAUGGGUCACGCCCCUGUGGAGCUUUU
This 177-nucleotide non-coding RNA is filed under the name Peptoniphilus equinus. RNAcentral's name for it is "Peptoniphilus sp. CBA3646 6S RNA". It matches the Rfam family "6S / SsrS RNA". Rfam says of the family: E. coli 6S RNA was the first non coding RNA to be sequenced, but its function was unknown until recently. The record is from RNAcentral. Lineage: Bacteria; Bacillati; Bacillota; Tissierellia; Tissierellales; Peptoniphilaceae.